UAGUCCAUCCAUUAGUAACAACAUCAACAAGAUCUGGAUCAAGGGAGCCAAGAAAUCUCAAACCUGAAAAUUUUGCAGUAGUGUCUCUUUUUCUUGACAUCUAAUCUGAUCAAGAUGGGAGAGUGAUCAGAUUUGGAGGCUAUGUCGUUUUCCAUUCUGAAAUUUGGAAACAUUUUGAACUAGUACCAUGUUGCAAGACCUCGAUCAAGAUUCUUAUUAGUUGCAUCAUGUUUUUCUCUCCGUCUAGCUCAUGUGUAUUGGUAUCCUUCCAUAGGAAUAUCAUGAAGAUUGCAAUCAGUGAUAGCUUCACGAAAACCAUUCAUAAGCCAGGAAGGAUGAUCAUAUAGCACCAAUCUUCUCGUCAUUUGACAUUAGGUCAUCGAAGUCACCAAAGAUGCAUGCACCAUGGGAGGGAUGUGUCUAAGGAUAGAAAUCUGAGAAGAUCCCAUGAGGUCAUCCUUCA
RNAcentral lists this long non-coding RNA (463 nucleotides) under Glycine max (soybean). RNAcentral's name for it is "long non-coding RNA (GMAX_LNC000918)". The record is from RNAcentral. Lineage: Eukaryota; Viridiplantae; Streptophyta; Magnoliopsida; Fabales; Fabaceae.